GAGUUUGAUCNUGGCUCAGANCGAACGCUGGCGGCAUGCUUAACACAUGCAAGUCGCACGGACCCUUCGGGGUUAGUGGCGCACGGGUGAGUAACACGUAGGAAUCUGUCUUGAGGUGGGGGAUAACUCCGGGAAACUGGAGCUAAUACCGCAUGAUAACUGAGGUUCAAAGGUCGCAAGACCGCCUUGAGAGGGGCCUGCGUUCGAUUAGUUAGUUGGNGGGGUAAUGGCCUACCAAGACGAUGAUCGAUAGCUGGUUUGAGAGGAUGAUCAGCCACACUGGGACUGAGACACGGCCCANACUCCUACGGGAGGCAGCAGUGGGGAAUAUUGGACAAUGGGGGCAACCCUGAUCCAGCAAUGNCGCGUGUGUGAAGAAGGUCUUCGGAUUGUNAAACACUUUCGUUGGGGACGAUGAUGACGGUACCCAAAGAAGAAGCCCCGGCUAACUUCGUGCCAGCAGCCGCGGUAAUACNAAGGGGGCGAGCGUUGCUCGGAAUANCUGGGCGUAAAGGGCGCGUANGCGGCCGAUAGCUGUCANAUGAGAAAUUUUUGGGCUCAACCCNAAAACUGCAUUUGAUACGUAUUGGCUAGAGUGCGAGAGAGGAUUGCGGAAUUCCCAGUGUAGAGGUGAAAU
Molecule: ribosomal RNA, 637 nt
Filed under: uncultured Acetobacter sp.
Lineage: Bacteria; Pseudomonadati; Pseudomonadota; Alphaproteobacteria; Acetobacterales; Acetobacteraceae
Description: bacterial SSU rRNA
Rfam family: Bacterial small subunit ribosomal RNA
Source: RNAcentral